Molecule: ribosomal RNA, 919 nt
Filed under: uncultured Gammaproteobacteria bacterium
Lineage: Bacteria; Pseudomonadati; Pseudomonadota; Gammaproteobacteria
Description: bacterial SSU rRNA
Rfam family: Bacterial small subunit ribosomal RNA
Source: RNAcentral
ACUCCUACGGGAGGCAGCAGUGGGGAAUAUUGCACAAUGGGCGCAAGCCUGAUGCAGCCAUGCCGCGUGUAUGAAGAAGGCCUUCGGGUUGUAAAGUACUUUCAGCGGGGAGGAAGGGAGUAAAGUUAAUACCUUUGCUCAUUGACGUUACCCGCAGAAGAAGCACCGGCUAACUCCGUGCCAGCAGCCGCGGUAAUACGGAGGGUGCAAGCGUUAAUCGGAAUUACUGGGCGUAAAGCGCACGCAGGCGGUUUGUUAAGUCAGAUGUGAAAUCCCCGGGCUCAACCUGGGAACUGCAUCUGAUACAGGCAAGCUUGAGUCUCGUAGAGGGGGGUAGAAUUCCAGGUGUAGCGGUGAAAUGCGUAGAGAUCUGGAGGAAUACCAGUGGCGAAGGCGGCCCCCUGGACGAAGACUGACGCUCAGGUGCGAAAGCGUGGGGAGCAAACAGGAUUAGAUACCCUGGUAGUCCACGCCGUAAACGAUGUCGACUUGGAGGUUGUGCCCUUGAGGCGUGGCUUCCGGAGCUAACGCGUUAAGUCGACCGCCUGGGGAGUACGGCCGCAAGGUUAAAACUCAAAUGAAUUGACGGGGGCCCGCACAAGCGGUGGAGCAUGUGGUUUAAUUCGAUGCAACGCGAAGAACCUUACCUGGUCUUGACAUCCACGGAAGUUUUCAGAGAUGAGAAUGUGCCUUCGGGAACCGUGAGACAGGUGCUGCAUGGCUGUCGUCAGCUCGUGUUGUGAAAUGUUGGGUUAAGUCCCGCAACGAGCGCAACCCUUAUCCUUUGUUGCCAGCGGUCCGGCCGGGAACUCAAAGGAGACUGCCAGUGAUAAACUGGAGGAAGGGUGGGGGAUGACGUCAAGUCAUCAUGGGCCCUUACGACCAGGGCUACACACGUGCUACAAUGGGCGCAUACAAG